RNAcentral lists this ribosomal RNA (1344 nucleotides) under Odontodactylus havanensis. Its description in RNAcentral is "16S ribosomal RNA". The stretch from base 610 to 1344 matches the Rfam family "Archaeal large subunit ribosomal RNA", at positions 1423 to 2819 of the family's 2987-position model. The record is from RNAcentral. Lineage: Eukaryota; Metazoa; Arthropoda; Malacostraca; Stomatopoda; Odontodactylidae.
AAUAAAUGCUUAUUUAAAAAUGAAGCGCAAAUCUAAAAGUGAUAAAAAUAAUUCUCCAUGUUUAAUUGCAAGUAAUUAAUAAAGAAAGCUAACUGGAAAAUGAUAGAAUAAAAGUACUGUGAAGGAAAGCUGAAAUAAAUGAAAAUGUAAUUGAGACAAAGUAUAAAUUAAAUUUAGUACCUUGUGUAUCAGGGGGCUUAAAUAAUCAAUUUAAUAAGCUAACACUCCCGAACUUUAGUGAGCUAGUUGUUAAAAUUAGUUGACGUAGUAUAGUCAUUAAUAAUUGACCACUAGAAAUGAAAUUUUAUACGCACUAACAGGUAUCUGGUUUACUGAUAAGAUAAUUCAAUUUUACUUUUAAAUAUAAAAUGAUUAAAAAGGUAGAAUAGGAGGGAAAAGCUUCUUGUUCUUUAAUAAACCUAUUAUGAACAAUAAUAAAACAAAUCACUCAACUAGGCUUAGAAUUAGCCACUUUUAAAAAUAGUUAUAUAUUAUGCGAAAAAUCUUAAGAUUUAAAAUUGCUCUAAUAAAAAUUAUCAGUAAACUCAAUCUAAUUAAAAAGUUGACGUUUAUAAUUAAACCAUUAGUAUAAAAAUCUGUAAUAAAACAUCUCUCGUUUAUAAACUAAAUCUUUAAUAAAAAACAUUUUCAUUAAGGAACUCGGCAAUUAUCUCUUCUGCCUGUUUAUCAAAAACAUGUCCACUUGUAUAGAUGUAAGUGGUCUGGCCUGCCCACUGAUAGUUAAUUAAAGGGCCGCGGUAUCCUGACCGUGCGAAGGUAGCAUAAUAAUUAGUCUCCUAAUUAGAGGCUUGUAUGAAUGGUCGGACAAGAUGAGAACUGUCUCUGUGUAAUAAAUAAAAUUUAAUAUUUAAGUAAAAAAGCUUAAAUAAAAUGAAGGGACGAUAAGACCCUAUAAAGCUUUAUGAUAAAGUUAUCCUCUACGGAAUAAACAUUAUUAAACUAGUUGAUAACGCAUAUCAUUUUACUGGGGCGGUAAAAGUAUAACAAGAUUAACUGCUUUUGUUUUUACAAACAAUUAUAAUUGAAAACAGAUUGAUCCAUUAUUAAUGAUCACAAGAACAAGUUACUUUAGGGAUAACAGCGUUAUUUUUCUUGAGAGUCCUCAUCGAAAGAAAAGUUUGCGACCUCGAUGUUGAAUUAAGGGUCACCUUAAGGUGCAGCAAUUUUAAAGGUGGAUCUGUUCGAUCUUUAAAUCCUUACAUGAUUUGAGUUCAGACCGGCGUAAGCCAGGUUGGUUUCUAUCUUUCAUAAAACGCUAGUUUACUUUAGUACGAAAGGAUUUAGUAAACCAAAUAAUUUGGCUUCGUUGAAUAAUACUAACAA